Molecule: ribosomal RNA, 404 nt
Filed under: uncultured bacterium
Lineage: Bacteria
Description: bacterial SSU rRNA
Rfam family: Bacterial small subunit ribosomal RNA
Source: RNAcentral
UGGGGGAUAUUGCGCAAUGGGGGCAACCCUGACGCAGCAAUGCCGCGUGAAGGAAGAAGGUCUUCGGAUCGUAAACUUUUGUCUUCAGGGACGAAAAUGACGGUACCUGAGGAGGAAGCCACGGCUAACUACGUGCCAGCAGCCGCGGUAAUACGUAGGUGGCAAGCGUUGUCCGGAUUUACUGGGUGUAAAGGGCGUGUAGGCGGGAUGGCAGGUCAGAUGUGAAAUACUCGGGCUUAACUCGGGGGCUGCAUUUGAAACCGUCGUUCUUGAGUGUCGGAGAGGGAAGCGGAAUUCCUAGUGUAGCGGUGAAAUGCGUAGAUAUUAGGAGGAACACCAGUGGCGAAGGCGGCUUUCUGGACGAUAACUGACGCUGAGGCGCGAAAGCGUGGGGAGCAAACAGG